This 661-nucleotide ribosomal RNA is filed under the name Streptomyces sp. AU205_Ted1_R2A. Its description in RNAcentral is "bacterial SSU rRNA". It matches the Rfam family "Bacterial small subunit ribosomal RNA", at positions 83 to 757 of the family's 1533-position model. The record is from RNAcentral. Lineage: Bacteria; Bacillati; Actinomycetota; Actinomycetes; Kitasatosporales; Streptomycetaceae.
GGGCGGGGAUUAGUGGCGAACGGGUGAGUAACACGUGGGCAAUCUGCCCUGCACGUCUGGGACAAGCCCUGGAAACGGGGUCUAAUACCGGAUAUGACUGUCCAUCGCAUGGUGGAUGGUGUAAAGCUCCGGCGGUGCAGGAUGAGCCCGCGGCCUAUCAGCUUGUUGGUGAGGUAGUGGCUCACCAAGGCGACGACGGGUAGCCGGCCUGAGAGGGCGACCGGCCACACUGGGACUGAGACACGGCCCAGACUCCUACGGGAGGCAGCAGUGGGGAAUAUUGCACAAUGGGCGAAAGCCUGAUGCAGCGACGCCGCGUGAGGGAUGACGGCCUUCGGGUUGUAAACCUCUUUCAGCAGGGAAGAAGCGAAAGUGACGGUACCUGCAGAAGAAGCGCCGGCUAACUACGUGCCAGCAGCCGCGGUAAUACGUAGGGCGCAAGCGUUGUCCGGAAUUAUUGGGCGUAAAGAGCUCGUAGGCGGCUUGUCACGUCGGUUGUGAAAGCCCGGGGCUUAACCCCGGGUCUGCAGUCGAUACGGGCAGGCUAGAGUUCGGUAGGGGAGAUCGGAAUUCCUGGUGUAGCGGUGAAAUGCGCAGAUAUCAGGAGGAACGCCGGUGGCGAAGGCGGAUCUCUGGGCCGAUACUGACGCUGAGGAGCGAA